RNAcentral lists this unclassified non-coding RNA (171 nucleotides) under uncultured Russula. RNAcentral describes it as "sequence contains ITS2". Lineage: Eukaryota; Fungi; Basidiomycota; Agaricomycetes; Russulales; Russulaceae. The record is from RNAcentral.
UUAAGUUCAGCGGGUAGUCUCACCCGAUUUGAGGUCAAGGUUUAUAAAAACGGUCGAGUUACAUGUAACUCUAAGGUUAGAAAGCAGGUUCCCAGCCGACAUGACGUAGAACAAAUGCUUAUCACGUCAAGGAUCAGCUAAAGCGGACCCCACCAAUUCAUUUAGGAGGAG